UCUGGACAGUUACUGUGGAGCUAAGUAUAAUAAAUAAAGAAAAAACAUGCAGCUGUAUCCAUUGAUUGUUUGUCAUGGUUGCUAAAUAUCAAUGAACAUGUUCAGAAUUGGGACGCACAGCUCUAGCCAGGAGGCGCCCCAUGGGGCGCCCCAACCACUAGUCUUCUUCAAAUACGGUCCAGCUCCUCAUUCCUUCAGCAUCCCUCCCACACUCUAUCUGCAUCCUGUGUUCGGCUUUUCAUCCAUCCACUCCUUCCCCACUAGAUCGACAUGGAUCUGUUGCUCCAAUCUCACUCUGACCCAUAUGGAUUAAUGGAUUUGACGAUUUAUAAUGUAUUUCUUUCAGAUUUUCUUUUGUUGCCGGUAGGACUUUUUUUUGUUUACCUACAAAUCUUAUUUGACAACUUUAUUUAUCAUGACAGGUUCUAAAUCGUAAAAAAUUCGAAUUUCUCACCUUGCAGCUUUGCCGGAAGUCAGUAUAAUACUCAACAUCUGGUAUGUGAGCCCAAAUUCCUCUUUAUGGCUUCCUAUUAUGUGUGCUUCGUUGAGUUGAACUGCAGGUGUGUCGAUGAUGUCAGUAUGAUCACUAUAUACUCAUGAAAAAAAGUAUCAGCAGAUAUCGAAGACACAUACACAGAUUAGGUAUUCGUGUGUAUAAAAUAAAUAUCUUCAGGUGGGAGCUAGAUUGUGACAUCUACGUUGGAUCAAUCGACUGUGCAAUGUUUUACCAUGUUUGAGUUCACUACCUUUCAUUAUUGUAGUGUUCUCUCCGCAGUGUACUCUUCAUCAAACUGUAUUCUAUAGUUGAUGUACGGGAGAGCUAUCUACUCAACUUUGACUGAUUUCCUUGCACUGUUUUGACGAAUCAUAUAUUCUCACUUCCGCAGAUA
Molecule: long non-coding RNA, 890 nt
Organism: Lolium rigidum
Lineage: Eukaryota; Viridiplantae; Streptophyta; Magnoliopsida; Poales; Poaceae
Exons: 2
Source: RefSeq, a predicted model, not a curated record